CUACGGAGGAUGCGAGCGUUAUCCGGAUUUAUUGGGUUUAAAGGGUGCGUAGGCUGUGCGUUAAGUCAGGGGUGAAAUGCCGUCGCUCAACGACGGAGCUGCCCUUGAUACUGGCGUGCUGGAGUACGGAUGCCGUUGGAGGAAUGAGUGGUGUAGCGGUGAAAUGCUUAGAUAUCACUCAGAACACCGAUUGCGAAGGCAUCUGACGAAUCCGUCACUGACGCUGAGGCACGAAAGCGUGGGGAUAGAACAGGAUUAGAUACCCUGGUAUUCCACGCCGUAAACGAUGAUGACUAACCGUCGGCGAUAGACAGCCGGUGGCCAAGCGAAAGCGAUAAGUCAUCCACCUGGGGAGUACGUCGGCAACGAUGAAACUCAAAUGAAUUGACGGGG
This 393-nucleotide ribosomal RNA is filed under the name uncultured bacterium. RNAcentral describes it as "partial 16S ribosomal RNA". It matches the Rfam family "Bacterial small subunit ribosomal RNA", at positions 523 to 918 of the family's 1533-position model. The record is from RNAcentral.